Long non-coding RNA from Oncorhynchus keta (chum salmon), 3152 nucleotides. RefSeq lists it as uncharacterized. The record is from RefSeq and is a predicted model, not a curated record. NCBI's taxonomy places the organism in Eukaryota, Metazoa, Chordata, Actinopteri, Salmoniformes, Salmonidae. The transcript is spliced from 4 exons.
GGCAGGCAGGAGGGGGAAAAGGGAGGUAGGGAGUGAAAGAGAAGGGAGAAGGGGGGAUGAGAGAAAGCGAGUCCUCAUUAAUGUUUUAUUUAUUUAUGUUAGAGGCAUAGAGAGGAGAGCGCUGAUAGGCAGCUACUCCCCUGGCAGCAACAGGAGCAGAGAGGAUCCUGGGAGACUUGCAACAAUAAUAUAAAUCUUAUGGACAUGUGGGGAAAGUAUCAAUGGAAAUGUCUGUUAUAAAUUAUGGUGAUUGUCGGAAACUCUUCAAGCUUCCAAACUCUUCAAGCUUCCAAACUCUUCAAGCUAUAUUCCCGGUGAAGGCAUAAUGCUCUGGGGGCGGACGGUGAAGUCGCUUAUCAGCCCGCUCAUGGGUAAUCACUUUAACGUGCGUGUCGCCUGCAAGUCACUCUCCACUUUCUGCCUGUUUAUUAGCAAGUCUGUGGCGCCACACAACUGACAACUAAAUGCUGCUUCAAAAAUGGGUUUUGUGGACUAGGUAAAAAUAAAAUGGGAUUUGAAAUGGCUUUUCUGUGCUGUCAUCCUCGUUAUUUGUCAGAUAUCCUGUCUAAUGAUGGUUAAUAAUAGAGGCACAGCAUGCUAGGAGUACUGCUCACCAUCCACAGCCCCUGCAAACUACCUCCAUUACUCUAAUAUGUGGAGGUACUAUUUGUAGUGGUACACACACUGGACAGUUUCCACUCUCAGUCAAUGUUGUGCUAGGUCAGCUCAGUACCCUCCAGUUCUAUAGUCCCUCCAUUUACAUUGCCUUCACAUGCAGUAGUGAUUUUAUAGAUGUGAUCUUAAUAUUGCAUUCUGCGUGAUGGAUUUUCUGUCUGUGACAGGUAAACCAGUACUGUAAGGUCCCACUGGGUACAGACAUCAGUUCAACGUCUUUUUUUGAUUUACAUUUGGUUGAAAUGUCAACUAACCUAAAUGUGAAAUCAACAAAACAUUUCACCAUGACAUUGGAUAUAGAUUAAAGUGUGAAAAAAGACAGCAUUCAUUUACAUUGAUUACUUUUCGCAAAUCCAAUCAGUUUUCCACAUUUUUUUGUUGUUGAUGUUGAAGUGACGUGGAAACAACGUUGAUUCAACCAGUUUUUGCCUAGUGGGGUGUGUGUGAGAGUGAAGCGUGACUGUGUGUGCGCUUAUUUGUUCAACAGCGUGUGUGUUUCUGAGUAAUGUACAGUACGUGGGAGUACGCCUGUGUGUGUAUGAUAUAAUGUGUGUGUGUGAGAGAGAGAGCGAGGGAGCACAUGUGAAUUCAUGCCCCUCAACACUCACACAGUUGUUUCUUUCAUUGUGCAAAGCUUGCGUCACAACCCAUAUACAAGCCUCUCACUUCUCUCUCUGCCAUGGCCACAGGCUAGAGCAGAGUUACAGUUGAAGCCUUUUAAUUAUGCUCGUCAGUGUGUGCUAGCCGGGAUCAGGCCUGCCUGCCUGUGGGUACAUUAAUCACAUUGCUCUCAACUGACUCCAGACCAGUCCUAUCUUGUGUAGAAAGAUAGCUUUACAUACGACAAGUGGGGAGACAGGUAUAUCUUCCAUAUCAAAAUAUUGCUUUUGGCACUUGGGUGCACAGAACACAACCUCUUUGUCUCUGUCCCAGACCUGGUAUUCAGGUGUAAAGUGGUGUUUUUAGAGGUAAUAAUUAUAUAGUAUCUGAUUCUCUAAGAAGUUAAAUAAUAUGUUAAGAGGAAGCUUGCCACUGAUUAGAAUUUCUUCCCAGCAUGAAUUUGUAAUGUAGUUCAUGUCUUUCCUUUCUAUGUGAUUGUUAUGGAAAACCACUGGAGGGGAGCAACGGAGACCAAUCUACCACAACAUGUAUGUCCUCAUAGGUUCUCAUACUGUGUUGCUGGGAGUCGACCCCGGGGGAAAGUCCGUCACACGACACCCAUGUUUGACUUAGGGAGAUCAAAGGAAGACGAAUGAAGCCGUGCAAUAGCCCCAGACUGAUUCUGCACUAGAUGGAGUCGACCGCAAUGAACAGCAUUCAGCCUUAAGACUGCAAGACCUGAGCCAUAGGACCAUGCCCCAGGACUACCUGGCAUGAUGACUUCUUGCUGUCCCCAGUCCACCUGGCUGUGCUGCUGCUCCAGUUUCAACUGUUCUGCCUGCGGCUAUGGAAUCCUGACCUGUUCACUGGACGUGCUACCUGUCCCAGACCUAUUAUUUGACCAUGCUGGCAGCAGUGUGCUGGGCUUUGCAACAACGACGACCACUACUGGUCCAGACGCCACACACAGAACUGAAUGACAGGGACUCAUUUGCACAUAACAGGCAAGAAGUGGAAAUACGUUCGGUAUACAGCACAUUUGACUUCUGUUAUUUUUCUCCAAGUGUUACAAAUUGUUAUAACUUUUUCCCUUAUUGUGAUGAGACAGGUAUCUUGUUGGAAACAUUUGUAAUGCUAUAUAAUAUACCUUUAUUUAACUAGGCAAGUCACUAAGGAACACAUUUUUAUUUUCAAAGACGGCCUAGGAACAGUGGGUUAACUGCCUGUUCAGGGGCAGAACGACAGAUUUGUACCUUGUCAGCUCAGGGAUGUGAACUUGAAACCUUUCGGUUACUAGUCCACUAGGCUACCCUGCCACCAAUUAUAUAAUGCUAUAUAAUGAUAUGUAAUGCUAUAUAAUGCUAUAGAAUGAUAUGUCCUCUCAAGUAUAUAAUAUCGCACAUUUAUGUACUAUGAGACAAAAAAAACACUUGUGUAAGAACUGUGUAUAUGAGAUGAAACCUAAAUGAAAGUGGACUUGGAAAAACUUCUUGUACAUAGGAAAGACCAGCGUCCUUUUCUUGAGCUUCUAACCUUUUGAAUAGUUGAUUGGUCAAACCUGACCAGUGGGAGAGAUGUGUUUUUAUUUAUUUUAUUAACCAAUACUGAAUUUGAAAAGCAGUUUAUAUUAAAAGGAAGUGCCAUUUAUGUAAUGCUAUAUAAUGCUAUAUAAUGAUAUGUAAUGCUAUAUAAUGAUAUGUAAUGCUAUAUAAUGCUAUAUAAUGCUAUAUAAUGCUAUAUAAUGAUAUGUAAUGCUAUAUAAUGAUAUGUAAUGCCAUAUAAUGAUAUGUAAUGCUAUAUAAUGAUAUGUAAUGCUAUAUAAUGAUAUGUAAUGCUAUAUAAUGAUAUGUAAUGCUAUAUAAUGCUAUAUAAUGAUA